This 858-nucleotide long non-coding RNA is filed under the name Numida meleagris (helmeted guineafowl). RNAcentral's name for it is "lncRNA (ENSNMEG00000008839.1)". The record is from RNAcentral. Lineage: Eukaryota; Metazoa; Chordata; Aves; Galliformes; Numididae.
GUGGGCCGCAGGUCUGCACGCCCCGUGCAGGCUCCCUCAGUGUUCCCUAGGUGGUGGGCCUGCGUGGGCCUUGGGUCUUCAGAAGUGAUAUCGGGGGUGCGUGCACAUGGGGUGGUUUAGGAUUGGGUUGUGGCACAGUAACGUGUGGAGCACAAGUAGGAGAGAACAUAGAACCACAGGAUACCCCGAGUUGGAAGGGACCCGUGCGGAUCAUGGAGUCUAACUCCUGGCUCCACACAAGACCCUCCAAAAAUCAGGCCGUACGUCUGAGUGCGUUGUACAGAUGAUUCUUGAACUCCAGCAGCUCAGUGCCAUGACCACAGGGGAGCCCGUUCCAUGCCCACCACCCUCUGGUGCAGAACUUUUUCUUGAUAUCCAGCCUGAACCUCUUCUGCCCAAAGCAGACUUUUGUCAUCGUUUUCUAACCCAUACUGGUAAUCUUAUUACUAAGUCAAGUGUAAUUACUCUUGCAUAUUCAUUUUAAGUGAUGUCAUUCUGAUCUAGCAGAAAGCAGUGAUGAAGUUCUCAACUUUUUUGUGGUACGAUAGUAACGACGAGUGUUUUUCCAGGCAGGUGCCGGAGCGCUGCCAAAGGCUGCAACUGACCGUCAUAAGGCUGCAGUCAUCUUUGGAAAGCCAGGCCCCACCUGCAUGGCGUCCAGCUUCUUCCCUGAAGGUUUCUCUUCAUACUCAUGAGGUGAUGUUUCAGGAGUGUCAGGUAUCCAGAGUUCCAGCUUUCAGAAAAUUCUGGCAAAUGAUAGUGUCUGAUGAAGUGGAGGAGGGUGGAAUGGAAGACUGGAGUUGCCUGCCCCAGGCACGUCACAGUUACAUUGAAGCACAGAGGGAAAGUUCCAUGUAG